GACGAACGCUGGCGGCGUGCUUAACACAUGCAAGUCGAGCGGUAAGGCCCUUUCGGGGGUACACGAGCGGCGAACGGGUGAGUAACACGUGGGUGACCUGCCCUCAGCUCUGGGAUAAGCCUGGGAAACCGGGUCUAAUACUGGAUAUGACUCCAUGACGCAUGUUGUGGGGUGGAAAGCCUUGUGCGGCUGAGGAUGGGCCCGCGGCCUAUCAGCUUGUUGGUGGGGNGAUGGCCUACCAAGGCGACGACGGGUAGCCGGCCUGAGAGGGCGACCGGCCACACUGGGACUGAGACACGGCCCAGACUCCUACGGGAGGCAGCAGGUGGGGAAUCUUGCGCAAUGGGCGAAAGCCUGACGCAGCGACGCCGCGUGAGGGAUGAC
Molecule: ribosomal RNA, 384 nt
Filed under: uncultured bacterium
Lineage: Bacteria
Description: bacterial SSU rRNA
Rfam family: Bacterial small subunit ribosomal RNA
Source: RNAcentral